RNAcentral lists this ribosomal RNA (681 nucleotides) under uncultured archaeon. Its description in RNAcentral is "bacterial SSU rRNA". It matches the Rfam family "Archaeal small subunit ribosomal RNA", at positions 1 to 639 of the family's 1478-position model. The record is from RNAcentral.
UUCCGGUUGAUCCCGCCGGAGGCUACUGCUAUUGGAGUCCGACUAAGCCAUGCGAGUCGAGGUGGGCUUUUGCCCACCGGCGGACGGCUCAGUAACACGUAGACAACCUACCCUCGGGAGGGGGAUAACCCUGGGAAACUGGGGCUAAACCCCCAUAGGGCACAGGUGCUGGAAUGGCCCUGCGUCGAAAUUCCGAAAGGAGCCCGAGGAUGGGUCUGCGGCCUAUCAAGUUGUAGUGGGGGUAACGGCCCCACUAGCCUACGACGGGUACGGGCCCUGGGAGGGGGAGCCCGGAGAUGGACUCUGAGACAAGAGUCCAGGCCCUACGGGGCGCAGCAGGCGCGAAACCUCCGCAAUGCUCGAAAGAGCGACGGGGGGACUCCCAGUGCCUACGCUUUGCGUAGGCUGUUCCCGAGCCUAAAAAGCUCGGGGAGUAAGGGCUGGGUAAGACGGGUGCCAUCUGCAGCGGCAGCAAAGAUUUGACUUGCCGUUGCAAGGCAUAAGCCGCCGCGGUAAUACCCGCAGCCCGAGUGGUGGCCACUUUUAUUGGGCUUAAAGCGUCCGUAGCCGGCCCGGUAAAUGCCUGGGUAAAUCGUGGGGCCCAACCUCACGAAUUCCGGGCAGACUGCCGGGCUAGGGACCGGAGGAAGGAGAGGGUACUCCAGGGGUAGGGGUGAAAUC